RNAcentral lists this ribosomal RNA (498 nucleotides) under uncultured bacterium. Its description in RNAcentral is "partial 16S ribosomal RNA". It matches the Rfam family "Bacterial small subunit ribosomal RNA", at positions 28 to 507 of the family's 1533-position model. The record is from RNAcentral.
GACGAACGCUGGCGGCGUGCCUAAUACAUGCAAGUCGAACGAGAGCGACCGGUGCUUGCACUGGUCAAUCUAGUGGCGAACGGGUGAGUAACACGUGGGUAACCUGCUCAUCAGAGGGGGAUAACAUCCGGAAACGGAUGCUAAAACCGCAUAGGUCUUCGAGCCGCAUGGCUUGAAGAGGAAAAGAGGCGCACGCUUCUGCUGAUGGAUGGACCCGCGGUGCAUUAGCUAGUUGGUGAGGUAACGGCUCACCAAGGCCGUGAUGCAUAGCCGACCUGAGAGGGUGAUCGGCCACAUUGGGACUGAGACACGGCCCAAACUCCUACGGGAGGCAGCAGUAGGGAAUCUUCCGCAAUGGACGCAAGUCUGACGGAGCAACGCCGCGUGAGUGAAGAAGGUUUUCGGAUCGUAAAACUCUGUUGUUAGAGAAGAACAAGUGCUAGAGUAACUGUUAGCGCCUUGACGGUAUCUAACCAGAAAGCCACGGCUAACUACGUG